UGAAGAGGUAAAAAAGGAUCUCAGUGA
Molecule: small RNA, 27 nt
Filed under: Bombyx mori (domestic silkworm)
Lineage: Eukaryota; Metazoa; Arthropoda; Insecta; Lepidoptera; Bombycidae
Description: ovarian small RNA-30893
Source: RNAcentral